CGAGGACGGGCUGGGAGUGGGCGGGACUCCGCCGAGGGGCGGGGCCAGAGGACGGACCGAGGCCUCCAGGGAAGCGGGACCAGGUGAGGGGAAAGUCGGACCAGCAAGUGGGGCGGCGGCGGGGGUACCCGUGACCACCAGCGAAGGUGCGCUACCCAGCGCUCGGUCCCGCACAGGCUAGGAGGACUAGCAUGAAGACCCGCAGCUGCAGGGGCCAGAACAGAAAGCGCUUGUUAAAAGAUAUAUCUGUUUUGCUUUGUACGGCACAGGGAUACACAUUCAGGAUUGUCAUGUCUUCUGGUAAGUGAACUUUUUAAUCAUUCUACAGUUUUCUCCCUGGCAAUUUUAUCUUGUUC
Molecule: long non-coding RNA, 356 nt
Filed under: Fukomys damarensis (Damara mole-rat)
Lineage: Eukaryota; Metazoa; Chordata; Mammalia; Rodentia; Bathyergidae
Description: lncRNA (ENSFDAG00000023400.1)
Source: RNAcentral